UACGGAGGGGGGCUAGCGUUGUUCGGAAUUACUGGGCGUAAAGCGCACGUAGGCGGCUUUGUAAGUUAGAGGUGAAAGCCCGGGGCUCAACUCCGGAAUUGCCUUUAAGACUGCAUCGCUCGAGUUGUGGAGAGGUAAGUGGAAUUCCGAGUGUAGAGGUGAAAUUCGUAGAUAUUCGGAAGAACACCAGUGGCGAAGGCGACUUACUGGACACAUACUGACGCUGAGGUGCGAAAAGCGUGGGGGAGCAAACAGG
Molecule: ribosomal RNA, 256 nt
Filed under: uncultured bacterium
Lineage: Bacteria
Description: partial 16S ribosomal RNA
Rfam family: Bacterial small subunit ribosomal RNA
Source: RNAcentral